GGCUGUAAGUAUUUGGCUUUAUUUCUGUGUUCUCUCUUUCCAUUGGUCUACCUGUCUGUUUUUAUACCAGUACCAUGCUGUUCUGGUAACUAUAGCCUUGUAAUAUAGUUCAAAGUCAAGUAAUGUGAUGCCUCCAGAUUUGUUCUUUUUGCUUAGUCUUGCUUUGGCUAUGUAGGCUCUUUUUUUUGUUCCAUAUGAAUAUUAGGAUUUUUUUUUUCUGGUUCUGUGAAGAAUUAUGGUGGUAUUUUGAUGGGAAUUGCAUUGAAUUUAUAGAUUGCUUUUGGUAGAUGGCCAUUUUCACAAUAUUGAUUCUACCCAUCCAUGAGAAUGGGAUGUGUUUCCAUUUGAUUGUGUCAUCUGCGAUUUCUUACACCAGUGUUUUGUAGUUUUUCUUAUAGAUAUCUUUCACUUACUUGUGAAGGUGUAUUUCUAAGUAUUUUAUUUUUUGUAGGUGUCGUAAACAAGUUUGAAUUUUUUAUUUGAUUCUCAGCUUGGUCACUGUUGGUGUAUAGUAGUGUUACUGAUUUGUGUACAUUGAUUUUGUAUCCUGAAACUUUACUGAAUUCGUUUAUCAGAUCUAGGAGCUUUUUGGAUGAGUCUUUAGGGUUUCCUAGGUAUACAGUCAUGUCAUCAGUGAACAGCAACAGUUUGACUUCUUCCUCUUUACCAAUUUGGAUGUCCUUUAUUUCUUUAUCUUGUCUGAUUGUUCUAGCUAGGACAAAGAGCUGUUUUUAAUUUUAAAAAUACAUGUGUCCCUAACUCAUUUUCUCUCUCAGUUCCAGUGUCUCGCCCCAUCCUCACCCUCAGGGUUCCCAGGGCCCAGGCUGUGGUGGGGGACCAGCUGGAGCUUCACUGUGAGGCCCCGAGAGGCUCUACCCCAAUCCUGUACUGGUUUUAUCAUGAGGAUGUCACCCUGGGGAGCAUCUCAGCCCCCUCUGGAGGAGAAGCUUCUUUCAACCUCUCUCUGACUGCAGAACAUUCUGGAAACUACUCAUGUGAGGCCAACAAUGGCCUAGUGGCCCAGCACAGUGACACAGUAUCACUCAGUGUUGUAGUUCCAGUAUCUCGUCCCAUCCUCACCUUCAGGGCUCCCAGGGCCCAGGCUGUGGUGGGGGACCUGCUGGAGCUUCACUGUGAGGCCCUGAGAGGCUCCCCCCCAAUCCUGUACUGGUUCUAUCAUGAAGAUGCCACCCUGGGUAAGAUCUCAGCCCCCUUUGGAGGAGGAGCCUCCUUCAACCUCUCUCUGACUACAGAACAUUCUGGAAUCUACUCCUGUGAGGCGGACAAUGGUCUGGAAGUCCAGCGCAGUGAGAUAGUGACACUGAAAGUUGCAGUUCCGGUAUCUCGCCCCAUCCUCACCCUCAGGGCUCCCGGGGCCCAUGCUGCGGUGGGGGACCUGCUGGAGCUUCACUGUGAGGCCCUGAGAGGCUCUCCCCUGAUCCUGUACCGGUUUUAUCAUGAGGAUGUCACCUUAGGAAAUAGCUCGGCCCCCUCUGGAGGAGCGUCCUUCAACCUCUCUCUGACUGCAGAACACUCUGGAAACUACUCCUGUGAGGCUGACAAUGGCCUCGGGGCCCAGCGCAGUGAGACAGUGACACUUUAUAUCACAGGGCUGACCGCGAACAGAAGUGGCCCUUUUGCCACAGGCGUCACCGGGGGCCUGCUCAGCAUAGCAGGCUUUGCUGCUGGGGCACUGCUGCUCUACUGCUGGCUCUCGAGAAAAGCAGGGAGAAAGCCUGCCUCUGACCCCGCCAGGAGCCCUUCAGACUCAGACUCCCAAGAGCCCACCUAUCACAAUGUACCAGGCUGGGAAGAGCUGCAACCAGUGUACAGUAACGCAAAUCCCAGAGGAGAAAAUGUGGUUUACUCAGAAGUCCGGAUCAUCCAAGAGAAAAAGAAACAUGCAGUGGCCUCUGACCCCAGGCAUCUCAGGAACAAGGUGAGUCUCCCCUUCUGCAUGCCCUCCCCCACCCCCAGGCCCACCCUGGUCCUCACGCAUGUGCUCUUGCUUCCUAGGGUUCCCCUAUCAUCUACUCUGAAGUUAAGGUGGCAUCAACCCCGGUCUCCGGAUCCCUGUUCUUGGCUUCCUCAGCUCCUCACAGAUGAGUCCACACGUCUCUGCAACUGCUGUUUCAGCCUCUGCACCCCAAAGUUCCCCUUGGGGGAGAAGCAGCAUUGAAGUGGGAAGAUUUAGGCUGCCCCAGACCAUAUCUACUGGCCUUUGUUUCACAUGUCCUCAUUCUCAGUCUGACCAGAAUGCAGGGCCCUGCUGGACUCUCACCUAUUUCCCAGUUACAACCCUGACUGGCAGGUUGUUGAAUCCAGUGGCAGGGUGCUCCCACCCCAGGGCCCAGCACAUCUCCUGGAUUCCUUAGUGGGCUUCAGCUGUGGUUGCUAUUCUGAGUACUGCUCCCAUCACACCCCCACAGAGGGGUUCUUACCACACAAAGGGAGAGUGGGCCUUCAGGAGAUGCCGGGCUGGCCUAACAGCUCAGGUGCUCCUAAACUCCAACACAGAGUUCCUGCUUUGGGUGGAUGCAUUUCUCAAUUGUCAUCAGCCUGGUGGGGCUACUGCAGUGUGCUGCCAAAUGGGACAGCACACAGCCUGUGCACAUGGGACAUGUAAUUGAUCUCCCCACAGGCUGCAUUUCACACUCCUCCACCUGUCUCAAACUCUGAAGUCGGCACUUGACACCAAGGUAACUUCUCUCCUGCUCAUGUGUCAGUGUCUACCUGCCCAAGUAAGUGGCUUUCAUACACCAGGUCCCAAGUACUUCCCAUCCUAACAGAAGUAACCCAGCAAGUCAAGGCCAGGAGGACCAGGGGUGCAGACAGAACACAUACUGGAACACAGGAGGUGCUCAAUUACUAUUUGACUGACUGACCGAAUGAAUGAAUGAAUGAAUGAAUGAAUGAAUGAAUGAGGAAGAAAACUGUGGGUAAUCAAACUGGCAUAAAAUCCAGUGCACUUCCUAGGAAAUCCAGGAGGUAUUCUGGCUUCCCUGAGUAAGAAACAAUGGAAGAGAAGGAGCUUGGGUGAUGCAACUGUUCAGCAAGAGGAAGGGCUUCUCACACUUUCAUGUGCUUGUGGAUCACCUGAGGAUCCUGUGAAAAUACAGAUACUGAUUCGGUGGGUCUGCGUAGAGCCUGAGACUGCCAUUCUAACAUGUUCCCAGGGGAUGCUGAUGCUGCUGGUCCUGGGACCGCACUGCAUGCAUUUGAGGCCCUGUAGGUCUCAGCAGAGGCCCAUGGAGAGGCAGUGUGUGGCUCUGGCUGCCCAGGGCCCAACUCGAUUCACACGGAUUAUGCUGCUCCCUGGCCAGCCCUUGGCCACAGCACCACCAGCUGCUGUUGCUGAGAGAGCUUCUUCUCUGUGACAUGUUGGCUUUCAUCAGCCACCCUGGGAAGGGGAAAGUAGCUGCCACUAUCUUUGUUUCCCCACCUCAGGGCUCACACUUUCCCAAGAAAAGGGUGAAUGUAUACGUGAGCCCUCUCCAUUCAGAGUUGUUCUCCCAUCUCUGAGCAAUGGGAUGUUCUAUUCCACUUUUAUGAUAUCCAUCACAUAUUAUCUUGAUCUUUGAUCCCAGUGGAUUGUACAGUGAUCACUUUUAAGCCCCAUGGCCCUGAAAAAAAAUCCUUCCAAGGGCAUUGGAAGCUCACUCCACCUGCCACAUGGCUUUUCAUGCUUCCAAGUGUCAGGGCCUCGCCCAGAUAGACAGGGCUGGCUCUGCUGCCCCAACCUUUCAAGGAGGAAACCAGACACCUGAGACAGGAGCCUGUAUGCAGCCCAGUGCAGCCUUGCAGAGCACAAGGCUGGAGGCAUUUGUCAUCACUACAGAUAUGCAACUAAAAUAGAAGUGGAGCAAGAGAAAUGCAUUCCCACCGAGGCCGCUUUUUUAGGCCUAGUUGAAAGUCAAGAAGGAGAGCAGUAAGCAUAGGCUCAGGAUUAAAAAAAAAAUCUGCUCACAGUCUGUUCUGGAGGUCACAUCACCAACAAAGCUCGCGCCCUAUGCAGUUCUGAGAAGGCGGAGGCACCAGGCUCAAAAGAGGAAAUUUAGAAUUUCUCAUUGGGAGAGUCAGGUACCCCCCAUACCAGAAUGAUAACCGCACAGUGGCAGAACAAACUCCACCCUAACGUGGGUGGACCCUGUCCAGUCUGUUGAAGGCCUGAAUAUAACAAAAGGGCUGAUUCUUCCUCAAGUAAGGGGGAACUCCUCCUGCUUUGGGCUGGGACAUAAGUUUUUCUGCUUCCAGACGCAAACUGAAAAAUGGCUCUUCUUGGGUCUUGAGCUUGCUGGACUGAAAGAAACUACACUACUGGAUCUCCUGGAUCUCCAGCCUGCUGACUGCAGAUCUUGAAACAUGUCAGCCUCUACAGUCACAAGAGCUAAUUCAUUCUAAUAAACCAAUCUCUCUGU
This 4418-nucleotide small RNA is filed under the name Pongo abelii (Sumatran orangutan). RNAcentral describes it as "processed transcript". Lineage: Eukaryota; Metazoa; Chordata; Mammalia; Primates; Hominidae. The record is from RNAcentral.